This 497-nucleotide ribosomal RNA is filed under the name uncultured bacterium. RNAcentral's name for it is "partial 16S ribosomal RNA". It matches the Rfam family "Bacterial small subunit ribosomal RNA", at positions 28 to 507 of the family's 1533-position model. The record is from RNAcentral.
GAUGAACGCUGGCGGCGUGCCUAAUACAUGCAAGUCGAGCGAACGGACGAGAAGCUUGCUUCUCUGAUGUUAGCGGCGGACGGGUGAGUAACACGUGGAUAACCUACCUAUAAGACUGGGAUAACUUCGGGAAACCGGAGCUAAUACCGGAUAAUAUUUUGAACCGCAUGGUUCAAAAGUGAAAGACAGUCUUGCUGUCACUUAUAGAUGGAUCCGCGCUGCAUUAGCUAGUUGGUAAGGUAACGGCUUACCAAGGCAACGAUGCAUAGCCGACCUGAGAGGGUGAUCGGCCACACUGGAACUGAGACACGGUCCAGACUCCUACGGGAGGCAGCAGUAGGGAAUCUUCCGCAAUGGGCGAAAGCCUGACGGAGCAACGCCGCGUGAGUGAUGAAGGUCUUCGGAUCGUAAAACUCUGUUAUUAGGGAAGAACAUAUGUGUAAGUAACUGCGCACAUCUUGACGGUACCUAAUCAGAAAGCCACGGCUAACUACGUG